ACGCUGUCUCUAAGUAAAAUGCAAAAAUAGGGCUGGGGAUGUGGUUCAAUGGUUGAAACUCAGUGCCCCUGAGUUUCAUCCCAGGCCGACCCCCUCAAAAAAAGAAGCUCUUUUAUAAAAUCACAGUCUUCAAAAUAAACUCCAACUUUUGUCCAUGUGGAAACAGUGGAUUUCAUUUGUCCCACAAAUAACGAUGGAAUACAUUCUAAGAAAUGGGAGGUUAGGCAAUUUUGUCAUUGAGUGAACAUUACAAAGUGUUCUUACAUAUUUAGAGCUCACUGUGAUGUCACUCGGUGGUAGAAUUUUAUGACACAGCAUCAUAUAUGCAGUCCACUUUUAGACAAAAUGUCUAGGUGGCCCAUGACUGUAAUAUUGAGCGCCUACUGUGUUCCAGGCACCUGGGAUACAUCAGAGAAUAAAACAAACAUCCCUGCCCGCUAGUUGGAGGAGAUAGGUGAAAAAUAAACAGAUUUGCAAAUUAAAUAGAGUGCUAAAAAUAGGCGACUGCAAAUGAGGAAAAUAAACAAAGCAGGGAAUGUAUAGAGAAUUGCAAUUCUAAAUAGGACUGACAUUAUUUAAAAAGUGAUAUGUGAGCAGAGACUUGAAAGAAGUGAGGCAAUUGGUCAUGUAGCCAUCUGGAAGAACAAUAAAUACAAAGGCCAUUGGGCAGGAGUAUGCUUGGCCUGCUGGAGGCACAGCAAGGAGGCCAGUGUGCUGGAAUGCAGUGGAGGAGGGGAAGGACUUUAACACUUCAAAUAGCCUCCACUAAUGGCACUGUUUUAAGCACUUAAAAAAAAUAGUAGGUAGGCCUCCCAAAACUUAUAGGAUAUGAACACUAAUUUUCUCUUUUCCAGAUGAGGAAACUAAGGCUCAGGAAGGUUAAAUAACUGCCCCCCCAAAUCAUACAGCUAUUUUGUGAUAUAGCUGGGUUUGGAACUGAGUGGUCUGUUUCCAGCCUUUAAGCACCAGAGGAUGCUGCGUUUCUUCUUAGUAGUAAGAGUUUAUCAGCUACAUCCUGGAGGCCUCAGCAGAUGCUCUCACCACCAUCUCACAAAUCCUGAGUUGCUGAUUCUGUCUCAGUCACUGCUGCAGCUGACUUGCUCUGUUUGGGCCCACAGAGUCCUGCUACCAAAUCUGCCACUCUUCUGCCUGGCCCUCUCCCCUGGCUGUGCUCACCAGCUAUCCACCACGCUGGUUUCUCACUCUUCCCUCAACCGAGAUUAAAAGCCACACCACAGAACACUGGGUAUGGCUUGCUGUGAAACUAACAGUGAGAACAGGGGCCAGGACCCAAAGUAUGAGGAAUGUCCUUCCUACUGGGGGUGAACUUGGACCACUGGGAAGUAGAUGAGAAGGCAUCAAGAAGAUGGUUCCUUGUCCUUUCUCCUCUGAGUACUUACCUGAGGCAUGGUGUGGCCAUGCCACUCGUCUGGCAGUAUUGUAUAUGGUGGCACAGAUGUUCUUACUGCCUUCUGCCGAUGACCCAAGCAUCAUAAGGCCGCUUCCCAUCUUCUUCUGUCUCUCUUCCCUUUUUCUCUCCCUCUUACUGCCUGGGAUUGCAUCUCCUAAAUAAAACAUUACAUUAA
This is a non-coding RNA of Ictidomys tridecemlineatus (thirteen-lined ground squirrel), 1586 nucleotides long. The record is from RefSeq and is a predicted model, not a curated record. NCBI's taxonomy places the organism in Eukaryota, Metazoa, Chordata, Mammalia, Rodentia, Sciuridae.